CCUACGGGCGGCAGCAGUGGGGAAUAUUGGGCAAUGGGCGCAAGCCUGACCCAGCAACGCCGCGUGAAGGAAGAAGGCUUUCGGGUUGUAAACUUCUUUUCUCAGGGACGAAGAAAGUGACGGUACCUGCUGAAUAAGCCACGGCUAACUACGUGCAAGCAGCCGCGGUAAUACGUAGGUGGCAAGCGUUAUCCGGAUUUACUGGGUGUAAGGGGCGUGUAGGCGGGACGGCAAGUCAGAUGUGAAAACCACGGGCUCAACCUGUGGCCUGCAUUUGAAACUGUAGGUCUUGAGUACUGGAGAGGCAGACGGAAUUCCUAGUGUAGCGGUGAAAUGCGUAGAUAUUAGGAGGAACACCAGUGGCGAAGGCGGUCUGCUGGACAGCAACUGACGCUGAGGCGCGAAAGCGUGGGGAGCAAACAGGAUUAGAUACCCCAGUAGUC
RNAcentral lists this ribosomal RNA (443 nucleotides) under uncultured bacterium. Its description in RNAcentral is "partial 16S ribosomal RNA". It matches the Rfam family "Bacterial small subunit ribosomal RNA", at positions 338 to 795 of the family's 1533-position model. The record is from RNAcentral.